Molecule: ribosomal RNA, 253 nt
Filed under: uncultured bacterium
Lineage: Bacteria
Description: partial 16S ribosomal RNA
Rfam family: Bacterial small subunit ribosomal RNA
Source: RNAcentral
UACAGAGGGGGCAAGCGUUGUUCGGAAUUACUGGGCGUAAAGGGCGCGUAGGCGGCCUGCUAAGUCGAACGUGAAAUCCCCAGGCUCAACCCGGGAACUGCGUCCGAUACUGACAGGCUUGAAUCCGGGAGAGGGAUGCGGAAUUCUAGGUGUAGCGGUGAAAUGCGUAGAUAUCUGGAGGAACACCGGUGGCGAAGGCGGCAUCCUGGACCGGCAUUGACGCUGAGGCGCGAAAGCCAGGGGAGCAAACGGG